RNAcentral lists this ribosomal RNA (1418 nucleotides) under sediment metagenome. RNAcentral's name for it is "bacterial LSU rRNA". It matches the Rfam family "Bacterial large subunit ribosomal RNA", at positions 661 to 2066 of the family's 2925-position model. The record is from RNAcentral.
CGAAGGCAAAGUGAAAGCGAGCGUUAAUAGCGCGAAAUAAAUACAGGAUGGUAAAGACCCGAAACCGUGUGAGCUAACCAUGACCAGGAUGAAGUUUGGCGAAAGCUAGAUGGAGGUCCGAACUAGUGUCAGUUGCAAGUGGCUUGGAUGAGUUGUGGUUAGAGGUGAUAUACCAACCGAACACGGAGAUAGCUGGUUCUCCCCGAAAUAUAUUUUGGUAUAGCCCGCAUGUUUAACCCCUAGGGGUAGAGCACUGGAUGGAUAGUAGCGACGCAAGUUGCUGCAUUCAACCAAACUCCGAAUACUAGGGUGUACAUCUGCGGAGUCAGUCCGUGAGGGAUAAGCCUUACUGGGCAAAAGGGAAACAUCCCAGAUCUAUAGCUAAGGUCCCGAAGUGUAUCUUAAGUGUUAAAGGUAGUAUUUGUGCUUAGACAGCAAGGAGGUUGGCUCAGAGGCAGCCAUCCUUUAAAGAAAGCGUAACAGCUCACUUGUCGAUUUGUGGCAUAGGUGCGCCGAUAAUUCAACGGGGCUAAAGAUACCACCGAAGCUUAGAAUUUCUGAUUUAUCAGGAGUGGUAGGGGAGCGUUUGCAUUGCUGUGAAGUUUGCGCGUAAGCGUGAGUGGAGCGAUGUGAAGUGAGAAUGCCGGUAUGAGUAGCGAAAGUCAUGUGAGAAUCAUGACCGCCGAAUAUCCAAGGUUUCCUACGCAACGUUCGUCGACGUAGGGUUAGUCGGUCCUAAGGCGAGGCCAGAAGGCGUAGUCGAUGGAUUUGCAGUUAAUAUUCUGCAACUAAUGUAAGAUCGUUAUUACUAAAGGGAAGACGGAGAAGGAAUUUUUCUGGGUCGAAAUGAUACGGCCUCUAAAGAGCAAGGAAGUGAAGUGUAGCAAAUCUCAUUUCAUGUUUAUUCGAGCUUCUAUGGGAAGUCGGCGCAAGCUGGCAAGUGAAAAGGUUUCAUCUUCCGAGAAAUUCUCUCGUUAGGAGAUUUUAUGUUAACCGUACCGCAAACCGACACAGGUGGAUUGGUAGAGGAUACCAAGGCGAGCGAGAAAACUUUCCUUAAGGAACUCGGCAAUAUAACUGGACGUACCUUUGGUAGAUGUCCUCCCGUAGCAAUACGGGCGCAGUUAAUGACGCCAGGCGACUGUUUAACAAAAACACAGCUCUCUGCUAAGUCGAAAGACGAAGUAUAGGGGGUGACACCUGCCCAGUGCUCGUAGGUUAAACGUUUAUUGUGAUUUGUCCUUCGGGAUGAUGAGCUUUGGAUGUAAGCCCGGGUAAACGGCAGCAGUAACUAUAACUGUUCUAAGGUAGCGAAAUUCCUUGUCGGGCAAGUUCCGACCUGCACGAAAGGUUGCAUGACGUAGUGACUGUCUUGAACCAUUACCCGGCGAAAUUGAAAUGGCUGUGAAGAUGCGGCC